Molecule: long non-coding RNA, 320 nt
Organism: Lynx canadensis (Canada lynx)
Lineage: Eukaryota; Metazoa; Chordata; Mammalia; Carnivora; Felidae
Exons: 3
Source: RefSeq, a predicted model, not a curated record
GAGAAGAUGACAUAUUGGAUAAAGGGUGGAAAUUCAGAGAUGAAAAGGCCAAGUUUCCUGUCCUCAAGAAAUUGCUGGUGUGAUCAGGUCGAGUUGUAAAAAUAUGAUCCACCAAGAACCAAGAUGCCCUGGAGGGGAAGCCAAUUUGCAGCCCUAAAAAGAAGCUAAAAUUGGACGCAUAUUAUAAUUCAAUGCAUUAUUGAAUGCAUGUAACGAGGAAAACCACGUUCAGAAAUGUGAGCCAAUUUGACUCAGAAUCCAUCAAGCCAUAUUACCACCAACCUCCAUGUCAUCCGACAAGCAUUUGAGUGGCUUCCCUG